RNAcentral lists this long non-coding RNA (309 nucleotides) under Helianthus annuus (common sunflower). RNAcentral describes it as "sRNA HanXRQr2_Chr11g0503741". The record is from RNAcentral. Lineage: Eukaryota; Viridiplantae; Streptophyta; Magnoliopsida; Asterales; Asteraceae.
AAACUCUCAACCUCUUGUUGUCGAUAAAAGCCUAUCGGAGAAAUACAGUCUACCGGAGUAAACAACACCGACACGACACGACACAAUCACACUCUUUCGUUUAAUCCACAACUCCUGUCCAAACCAAAGCACUUUCGCGACUUACCGGAGAGACACGGAGAUCGACGGAAGCCGUUUCGCUUUGUUCGGAGUUCGUCGGAGACAUUCGGAGAAGACGAUCGGAACCUUGCGGCCUUUUCUCUCGUUUCGGCAAAGUGGAUCAUGUUAUUCGUGUUAAUAGUCAAGAUGAUGAAGGAAUCAAGUUAGGAU